This 335-nucleotide RNase P RNA is filed under the name pig gut metagenome. RNAcentral describes it as "Bacterial RNase P class A". It matches the Rfam family "Bacterial RNase P class A". From Rfam's summary of the family: Ribonuclease P (RNase P) is a ubiquitous endoribonuclease, found in archaea, bacteria and eukarya as well as chloroplasts and mitochondria. Its best characterised activity is the generation of mature 5'-ends of tRNAs by cleaving the 5'-leader elements of precursor-tRNAs. Cellular RNase Ps are ribonucleoproteins. The record is from RNAcentral.
AGCGUGCCGGACGGCCGCAGGCGGCUUGACCGUCUGAGGAAAGUCCGAGCUCCGUAGGGCAGGGUGCCGGUUAACUGCCGGUGGAGGCGACUCCAAGGAAAGUGCAACAGAGAUAUACCGCGAAUUCCCGCAAGGGAACGCAAGGGUGGAAAGGCGAGGUAAGAGCUCACCAGCGGCAUGGCGACUUGUCCGCUCUGUAAACCCCACCCGGUGCAAGAUUGAUAGGGGAGUAUAUGCGGCGGCCCGUCGCGCUCCCGGGUAAUCGCUUGAGCCUGCUGGCAACCGCAGGCCUAGAUAGAUGGUCGUCCAAGACAGAACUCGGCUUAUAGACGCGU